AUUUGCGAUAUGUAACUUAGCUCUGCAUCAAGAUCCUCUUCCUCACUGCAGUAUGUAAGCGCCCUUCUAUAAAAGCUCUAAAUGCUGACUUCUUAUAGCUGAUGGGGUCAUUUGACCAUCUAGGAAUGAGCACUGCAUUAUAUGCUGGUUUGAAGUAUAUUGCUCUCUUCAAUCUUCCUGUUUCCAAGCUUAUCUCUAGGUCCAAAAAAUGUACAGUUCUGUUUUUGCAUUGUUCCUUUCUCAAAAUCAAGCCAUAUUGUGGUAAAGUCAACUGGUGGUAUAUUUUUUUAUUGUUCUUGGGACUAUGUUUAGCCAAUAUAUUGGAAUGC
This 329-nucleotide long non-coding RNA is filed under the name Androctonus crassicauda. Lineage: Eukaryota; Metazoa; Arthropoda; Arachnida; Scorpiones; Buthidae. The record is from RNAcentral.